Molecule: long non-coding RNA, 847 nt
Filed under: Theobroma cacao (cacao)
Lineage: Eukaryota; Viridiplantae; Streptophyta; Magnoliopsida; Malvales; Malvaceae
Description: long non-coding RNA (TCAC_LNC005900)
Source: RNAcentral
UGAUGUCUGUCUACUCACUGGGAUUUUAUAAUCUCACCCCUUCUUCCUAUACAUUUUUCAGGCUCAGGACAAUUUGUUGAUAGUUGAUUAAGACGAGAAUUAUUCUCGGAGUUGCAUCUUAAAAAGUAAGGGUUCGUAGCCCUACAUCUUCUUAGUCAGUUGGGGGCCUACGUGUCACUGUAAAAGUAAUUUUAUUCUUCAAUUAUUUAAUUUAAAAUAUGUAUGAAUAUAUUUAGCUUUUACACCAUGUUUUUGGCGAGUUUUGGUAUUUUCAAAAAAAAUGAUGAAAAUACCCCUGUGAGCCAGAAAGUAAUAUUUUAUUGUUUUGAUUUGGAAAUGACUUAUGAUUUUUUUUUAAAUAUGAGAUUUAAUAACUGUCGCUCACUAGGGAGAUGCAGAAGCUGAUGCUAAGCCUUGCGGGGUUUCGAUCGGCAUUCGGGGUAAUGAGUGCCUAUCGGGACGUCGCGACGGUUGUCACGGGCUCGAUGGGAGAUCCGGGUCGUGACAGAUAGUGCCUUUUUGCCAGCCUUCAAGUGUCAAUACACUCCACAUUGUGUCGAGUUAAGUCUUAUACUAUAGAUACAUGAAUGAUACUUGGUUAUGUAAAUAAAUGUUGAUAUGAUCAUAUUUAUUUAUUAUUAUGAAUAUUAUGUUUAGUGUUGGAAAUGGGUGCAUAUGAAUGUUGAAACUAUGGUGAAAGGACCAUUGGUGAUAAAGGCACAAGAUGUGUGCCGAACCACAGUUCAUAUAUAUACAUUGUGAAUAUUGAUAUGAAAUGAGAUAGAAACCACAUGCUAUGUUGAAAACUUUCGUAAUGAUGUGAUCUUGAUGAUUUACUUGUGAUUCU